ACGGUUGCCCUAGCAACAGCGUGGAGGCAGAGCUCCUGUUCCCGGGUCGGGAGCUUGCCGUGGUAGCUGGGCACGUCCUAAGUCUCGGCCCCCCAGGGUGCCUAGAUCGUGUGAGCACUUGCAAGACUCCAGGCUUCCCAGCUAGGGUUAGGGGCGGCCAAACAGGGAACAUGGCUGUGCCUUGGGAAGAAUAUUUCCGCCUGGCCUUGGAAAAAACGCCGCGGGCUGAGAAGACACCAGUUCAUGAGGACAAUUAUAUCAGCCAUGCUACCCAGCUGCUAGAGAAGAAGCAAGAGAUGGUAGAGAUGGAGGAGACUCUGCAAGCUAAGAAGGAGGAGUUCAAGGUAAAGAUGGCGGCCCUGAAGCAGCGAAGGGAGGCCCUAGAACAGAAGGAGGGGGCGCUGAAGGAGUCCAUGAUCCGCUUCGACAAGUUCCUGAAGGACACAGAGGCCAAGCAGAAUCGGGCCCUGCGCCGGGCGGAGGAAGAGCGGCGGAAGGAGGCCGAGGCCGAGGCCCUGGAGGAGGAGUUGGAGGGGCUGGUCCAGAAGAAGGAGCGGCUGGAGCGGACGAUGAACAAAUACCGGCCCUUCGCCCAGUAUCUGGAGCAGGUGGUGGCCCAGUCGGAGGAGUUUCAGGAGAUCCCCGAGCUGAUGGCCCGCUUCGGCGGCCUGGCCGACAUUCAGGCCAUCCUGGCCGAGCGCGAGCAGGCUUUGCACCAGGCCCUGGAGGAGGCCCGGCUCGAGCUGCUCAGGCUGGUGGAGGACAAGAACGACGAGGUCCUGCGGCAGAACAACCGGCUGGCCGACCUGCAGCUGCGCCUGGAGGAGGUCAGGACGGAGGCGCUGCAGUGGGAGUCGAGGUGGGUCCACAUCCAGAACACGGCAGCCCAGAAGACUUUGCUUCUUGGGCGGAUCAAGAUGGCAGCCCUCAACCUGUACCAGAAGGUCUGUAAGCAGAGGAAGGAAGUUCCAGCGUUGGCCAUGGAGGACACCGAGGGGCAGCUGGAGCAGGUGAGGGGAGCCGGAAGCCCCAGAAACAGCCUGAACCAAACCUCUCACGCUCUAGGAAGCCCCUCUACCCGGCCAUCCGCUCAGGUCAGAGUGGAGCUCCUCAGGACGAGGCCAUAAGGCUGCGGGUCCCGUACGGACCAGCAACGUGAGAAUAAAAGAGGGAAAAGCUUGGCCUGAGUGGGAUCUGGCCCCGGCUCUCCUUCCUCUCUCCGGGCCUGUUUCUUUAUCUGUAAAUUCCCAAGUGACCACCUAAAGGCUUCUCCUCCCAUCCCUGGACACUGGUGAGCACUCUGCCCUCCAGGCUUGGGGCUGCCCUCUUAAGGCCAGUCACUUGGCCCCCAUCGCCAGCCCUUCCCACUCGUCUGCCUCGGACCACAGGACCGAUUCUAAGACAGAAGGGAGGGUCAAAAAUGAAAUAAAGGACGACUUGGGGAGAGCUGUCUUGGGAAACAGUGUUGGCUCAAAAGCAGAAGGUGCAGCUCUGCUUCCAGGAUCUUUCUGCCAUGUUGGCCAAGUCUCACCAGGGAGACCCCAGGCCUCCAGCUGACCGCU
Monodelphis domestica (gray short-tailed opossum) is the source of this 1562-nucleotide non-coding RNA. NCBI's taxonomy places the organism in Eukaryota, Metazoa, Chordata, Mammalia, Didelphimorphia, Didelphidae. The record is from RefSeq and is a predicted model, not a curated record.